Long non-coding RNA from Onychostoma macrolepis, 1410 nucleotides. RefSeq lists it as uncharacterized. The record is from RefSeq and is a predicted model, not a curated record. The transcript is spliced from 3 exons. NCBI's taxonomy places the organism in Eukaryota, Metazoa, Chordata, Actinopteri, Cypriniformes, Cyprinidae.
GUUUGUUAACGUGUUAAUUAAAUGUAUUAUAGGCCUAAUUAUAAACACACUGGUUUGUAGCGUAAAAUAGUUGUUAUUCUUGUAGCGGAAAAUGAAUCGGAAGUCUCGCGCAUUCACAGGAAAUAGCGUACGUCCGUGUUUAAAAAUAAAGUGAAAACUACACUAUAUGCAGGGGGAUCCUAAACCAACAAAACCACUGGACAAUGAAACAAAGAGGACCUUGCUUGGCAAGCAACAUGAUCUCUCCUCUACCUCCCUAUCUUCAUCUAUCUCCAGUGGUUUCCAUGGCGACAACACUUGGUCCUGCCUGCCAGUGAUCCUUUUUGACCCCUGAGGGUAACCUUUGGCCUAAGGGGUCAUGGCCAGGGUCAAGAGGUCAGUAGUGGCCAGAGGGCGAUGAAAGCACUUCUGUGAUUGGCUCUCUUACCAGUCCACAUAUUUUCAUUUUGAGGCUUAAGUACAGGCCUCGUCCCUCAGUAAACCAACUAAAAGACUGUACUUCCUCUAUUUCCAACAAAUACACAGACACACUGCCAUAAUCUCAGUCCAACAUUGUGAGCAUUUGAUUGCUGACAAUGUGUGGCGGAUGAAUGCAUCGGAACACUCUUGAGAAAACAGAAAACGUAGCAUCGAUCAUAUUCCCUCUGCGUGAAUGUGUGGGUGUGUGUUUGUAUGAAACUUCUUGUUAAGGGCUACGGUAUCUGCUUUGCAUCACCAAGCGGCCUAUUCAUUUCUUUCACACCUCGUUCUUUAUCAGUUGGAGAGAAACCGCAAUGGAGUGCUUUUAAAGAUGGUAAUGUGUCUUCUUCCUCAGCCUUGCAUUGAAAGGACUUCAUUCCAAGUCGCUGUGCAUAAUGGCGUCAACUAAAUGGCCGAAACAUAAUGUAAAACCUGCCGGUCACAUGACUAUAGCCAUCCACAGUUCCGUAAUUCAUCCUUCGGAUGAUGGGUCGUCAAUAUUGAUUUAUGAGCGUAAUGGUCAUGGACUGAUAGAAGGGUAGGAUGGGGGAAGAUGAGUUAAGAGAAGAUGGAGAGAAAGAGAUAGAGGAGGAUAAAGGGGGUGCAGAGGUGAAGGUGGACACGGAGUGCUUGUAGAGCUGGAGAAGGAGGAAAAGGAUGGCGCAUCCCUAACAAAGACACCAGGUGCCUGGGAGAUGGUCAACAUAUAUUCAAAGGAAGCAUCCCUCAUAAGCAGGUUAACAACCUCCGCUGAACCCACCGCUAUUACAUAAGAUCUCUGAAGGACUCUUAAAAGGUAUUUUAAUAGGAACUGUGACCUUUCACCUUCCAGCACUGACACUAAGCUCCUGACCCCACUUACAGACACCAGUGACACUACCAUCAUUUUAGUUCCUUCCUCCUGUUCAUCGUUAUCUCCAUCUCAUUAAAACAGCCAUGUUUACUGCUUAU